Molecule: non-coding RNA, 96 nt
Organism: Acanthosepion pharaonis
Lineage: Eukaryota; Metazoa; Mollusca; Cephalopoda; Sepiida; Sepiidae
Source: the annotation of a GenBank genome assembly
CUUGCGACCAUAUCACGUUGAAACACUGGUCCUCGUACAAUCAACGAAGUUAAGCAAUGUCGGGCUUGAUCAGUACUUAGAUGGGUGACCGCUCGG